GAUGAAGAACGCAGCGAAAUGCGAUAAGUAAUGUGAAUUGCAGAAUUCAGUGAAUCAUCGAAUCUUUGAACGCACAUUGCGCCCCCUGGUAUUCCGGGGGGCAUGUCUGUCCGAGCGUCAUUACAACCCUCAAGCUCAGCUUGGUAUUGGGCCCCGCCGACCCGGCGGGCCCUAAAGUCAGUGGCGGUGCCGUCCGGCUCCGAGCGUAGUAAUUCUUCUCGCUCUGGAGGUCCGGUCGUGUGCUCGCCAGCAACCCCCAAUUUUUUUCAGGUUGACCUCGGAUCAGGUAGGGAUACCCGCUGAACUUAAGCAUAUCAAUAAGCGGAGGA
This 329-nucleotide unclassified non-coding RNA is filed under the name soil metagenome. Its description in RNAcentral is "partial contains 5.8S ribosomal RNA, internal transcribed spacer 2, and large subunit ribosomal RNA". The stretch from base 1 to 120 matches the Rfam family "5.8S ribosomal RNA", at positions 35 to 154 of the family's 154-position model. The record is from RNAcentral.